GAUGAACGCUGGCGGCGUGCCUAAUACAUGCAAGUCGAGCGAACAGAUGAGGAGCUUGCUCCUCUGACGUUAGCGGCGGACGGGAGAGUAACACGUGGAUAACCUACCUCUAAGACUGGGAUAACUUCGGGAAACCGGAGCUAAUACCGGAUAAUAUAUUGAACCUCAUGGUUCAAUAGUGAAAGUCGGUUUUGCUGUAACUUAUAGAUGGAUCCGCGCCGCAUGAGCUAGUUGGUAAGGUAACGGCUUACCAAGGCAACGAUGCUUAGCCGACCUGAGAGGGUGGUCGGGCACACUGGAAGUGAGACACGGCCGCGACUCCGACGGGAGGCAGCAGUAGGGAAUCUUCCGGGAUGGAGGAGUGCCUGACGGGGCGACACCGCGUGAGGGAUGAAGGACCUAGGAUCGGAGAACUCUGUUAUUAGGGGAGAACAAAUGUGUUAGUAACUAUGCACGUAUUGACGGUACCUAAUCAGAAAGCCCCGGCUAACUACGUG
Molecule: ribosomal RNA, 497 nt
Filed under: uncultured bacterium
Lineage: Bacteria
Description: partial 16S ribosomal RNA
Rfam family: Bacterial small subunit ribosomal RNA
Source: RNAcentral